GGUGUAGCGCAGUUUGGUAGCGCAUCUGGUUUGGGACCAGGGGGCCGCGGGUUCGAAUCCUGCCACC
RNAcentral lists this transfer RNA (67 nucleotides) under pig gut metagenome. It matches the Rfam family "tRNA". From Rfam's summary of the family: Transfer RNA (tRNA) molecules are approximately 80 nucleotides in length. The record is from RNAcentral.